UGGGGUGUAGCUCAGUGACAGAGCACAUGCUUAGUGCACAGGAGGUCCUGGGUUCAACCCCUAGUACCUUUA
Molecule: transfer RNA, 72 nt
Filed under: Camelus bactrianus (Bactrian camel)
Lineage: Eukaryota; Metazoa; Chordata; Mammalia; Artiodactyla; Camelidae
Also listed under: 2 other names
Rfam family: tRNA
About the family: Transfer RNA (tRNA) molecules are approximately 80 nucleotides in length. Their secondary structure includes four short double-helical elements and three loops (D, anti-codon, and T loops).
Source: Rfam by way of RNAcentral